UGCAGCAGUGGUGAAAGUCAGAUUUGUCAUCUUUGGAAUAUAUCACUUGCUAUCAAAUAUUAAUUUAAAAAAUGUCUGUCUCACUAGAUUGACAGUCUGUUUGUCUUGAAAACAUUUCAUCAUAGAGGAAAUUUAGUUGCCUUUGACCUCGCAGUUCUGGACAUCCACCAUGGAGCAUUUUAUAUUUAAGGGUGUUCAGGCUGUAGAGAGAAGGUCAUUCCAGCAUUUGGGAGGUAUAGCGUAGAAGAGUUGGGUGGAGUGCUAACCGGAGAAGGAAGGGCCAAGCAAGAGAGGGAAGCAGAGCGUAGAGUACGAGCGGCGUGCAGAGCUGGAGCAUCGCCUGGAGUCACAUUUAACAAGCAACAUUCCUCCCUCCUCAACAAUUGGACUGCAUCAGUUCCUGCUAUCUCCCCAUCCGAAGAAGGUGCCGAGCGAGCUGAGAAGGGGCCAGCCUGUGCACGGGCAUUUGUAUGGGGGAAGGGCAUGUCUGCUGGCAAUGAGGGUGAGUAGAUCAGUGCUGCUCAGUGUCUGUGAGGCGGUGAUAAGAUUCCAGGAUUUUCCUAGUGUGACAGGCCUGAUCACCAAGCCGUACACCCCUCUGCAUGAAGACAACUGCAACCACCACCACCACCACCUGACAUCCCUGAACCCCUGGGCUGCUACACCUCAGCAGGCAGGAGCCACAGUCACCUGCAGCCACACCCAAACCCUCCUCACUCAAACUGAAAAUCUUAAUCUGACGAAUUUUUCUGUCUCGGGUGUAAAUGCAAAAUUAAAGCACAUGAAUGAAUUUCUACUUUACAGUCGUAUGCGUCUACACUAUACACUAGUCGUGUUGUCUCGUUCUUUCUCUCUGGCUCACUUCUCUUUCUUUAUCUCUGCCUCCUCAGUCCCCCCUCCCCACUCCCUCUCCCUUGGAUGGCAGGUCAGGCAGUGAGCUGUGCGGGCUCAGAGGAGGUAAGGACGCCGCGGUGCACAUUAAUAAUGAAAGGCCUCAGCCACCCCCCCAGACACACACACACACACACACUCACUCACUCCCGCACACACUCCCCCCAUCGCCAUGGCGAUGGCACUAGCCCAGCACUGUCACCGGGGGGGAAGCUGGGAAUAUAGCUACACUCUCCAACCCUCCGCUCGCCAAGCUGAUCACGAGCUCGUACACAAGCCCACCAUACUGGGCCUUCCACCGUGGAUAUUCACUAAUUAAAAACACUCAGCACUACGGCUGUGGCAGAAAUCUGCAUCUACUUCCCCACCUGGAUAUGAAAGAGUGACUAUGGAGCUGUGAAAAAAAUCAUCACUUAGCAGGAAAUGGAAAUUCACUCUAUGUGUCACAGACCUGAGGCAUUAGAAUCAGUAAUUACACUAAGACCCACGUGAGAUUGACCACAUUUUUGGAAAGGUUUUUUAAAUCAGCACUGCUUUCACUUAUCCAUGUCUUUGUCCAAACUUCACUCACUUCUACUCCUUGCACGCAUAACACAUCCAGCCCCAAAACACACACUUUACCCAGGCUUCUUCAAGAUAGCCUUGACAGCUCUGAAGACAAAACUUCCCUUCAGUAAUCCAUUACUAUCAAUGAUUUUCUGCUUGUGUUUUCUGACUUUAAAUGUCAUGGAGUAUGGUGAAUGUCACACAGAUCUUGGAGGAUUUUCAGGAGGUCUCAUGCAUUUUGAAGAAACACUGCAACCAAAAUUGUUCUUAUUCAAACAUCUUUUAAAUCAUUUUGGUUACAUUUUAGCAUAGCAAGGCUCCAUCAGUCAUUCCACUAUAGGAAGAUAUUACAUAGGCAGUGAGAAAAAUAUCUCAGUCAAACCAAGGACAUCAUGGUGAUUCAUACCACCGCCUGAUUUACUUUUAAUGAGUUCUGCUCUUGUCAGAAUCUUGGAGAAUUUUCCUACACCAUCCAAUUAUAAAGGAAAAUGACCAUUUUUUCAUUUCAUUCAUGGAAAACGUAUACUUAAUGUUUCUUUUCGUCAAACCAGCUGUUUUUAAAAACAAAACAUGCAAAUAGACAAGUAGACAAACAUCAGAACUGUAAAUUUUGACACGAAUACAUGCAUUCCUUUUUAUUCACAAAACCAGUCCAAUUUUCUAAACGAAUACAAAGAUCGGUUAUUUUGAAAAGCUGUAGCUACCCAGCAACAUAACAAAAUCAUGAAAAUAUAACAAAUAAACAAAUAAAAAAAAAAUUUCAUCUUGUCUCAGUGCGUUCAGUAGGGUAGACUCAGAGCAAGUGCUGUCUCUUAAUGCUAUUGCCCUGAGCAAUAUUGGCACAUGCUCAGUAGGGCCACAGUAACAUAAGGCUGCCAGUUUCACUAAAGGAAAAGUUUGGAAAUGCAGAAGAGGGCUGAUUUAGGAGUUUACAGUAGUGACGGCUCUGGCGAACAGCAUCUUCGACCCAGUGAAGAGUCCCUGGAGAUCUGCCCAAUAACAUGACUUCUUCAGUUUCGUUUAAAUCCGAAAUUGGCAGCUUCACAAUUUGAAACAUUUUCUUUGUCUUUCAAAGACAACCACUGAUCUGUCUGGAAACUAUACUCGUCAACGAAAUGAAUCAUGAAAUAGACAAGGGUUUAAGUAACAUAAUGGUGAAGAAUUACAAUAACGUUUUUGCCAUUAGCCACUAGUUUUGAAAUAUAGCUGUAAAUUUACAUUCUCUACACAAGUACUGUAUCUUUCCACACAUGAACAACAUUAACACCAAACACAGAAAUUUGUUGAUUGUCCACACUCGGUCCGUCAUUUCUGUUUCUGGCAAUGAACAGUUCCAUGUUUAAGCGACAGAAAAAAACCUGCUGGAAAAAGGACAAAAGGUACCAAAAUGGAAACAUAGAAAAGGGAAUGAAAAUUGCCAUAGAUGCUUUUCUUUACGCUUCAUUUUUGGUUCAAGGAAUAAGUAGGUGCAUCCAUUACCCGAUUGAUUUUUUUGUCGUUGUUGUUCUGUUUUGUUUUUUUGUUGUUUUUUUUUUUCCUAUAAUUUUUUUUGUUGCUUGUUUGUUUAUUAGCCAGUGUCUGUUCCGGAGACAAUCCAGGAGUUGGCAUUGCACUUGAUGGCAGAGCUUUGGGUAGGGAGU
Molecule: long non-coding RNA, 3077 nt
Organism: Siniperca chuatsi (mandarin fish)
Lineage: Eukaryota; Metazoa; Chordata; Actinopteri; Centrarchiformes; Sinipercidae
Exons: 3
Source: RefSeq, a predicted model, not a curated record